RNAcentral lists this unclassified non-coding RNA (229 nucleotides) under fungal sp. RNAcentral's name for it is "partial internal transcribed spacer region". The stretch from base 1 to 46 matches the Rfam family "Eukaryotic small subunit ribosomal RNA", at positions 1786 to 1831 of the family's 1831-position model. Lineage: Eukaryota; Fungi. The record is from RNAcentral.
AAGUCGUAACAAGGUUUCCGUAGGUGAACCUGCGGAAGGAUCAUUGACAAAUCUGAACAAAAAAGGGUGUGAGAAGAGGGAGAAGAGAUUCUUUCUUUUCUCGCACCACAUUCCAACCUGUGAAUUGGUGGUGCUACCGAAUGGUGAUGCCGCUGAACAUUUACGUAUUAUAUGUCUUAAAAUAACAAAACAAAUACAACUUUUAGCAAUGGAUCUCUUGGCUUCUGUA